This is a non-coding RNA of Vicia faba (fava bean), 228 nucleotides long. NCBI's taxonomy places the organism in Eukaryota, Viridiplantae, Streptophyta, Magnoliopsida, Fabales, Fabaceae. The record is from the annotation of a GenBank genome assembly.
AUGCCCCUCACUAGCAGCAGUUUAUCUCACAUAUCCCUACCCGAACCUGGCAUCAGGAGCCAAGCCGUAUCAACAAUCAACAGCAGACCUUAGAUCUCAGAGAAGAGGAUCCCCGGCAAUAACUCUCCUUUGACACAUAGGCGCUAUCAGCCCUUCUCUUAUGCCGGGUCUGGGGGAGGAGUAAUUGUUUCUGCCUGGAGCGAGCCAGGUCUGGGAUCUUUCCCAUAG